GGGCUCACACAAGCGGUGGAGCAUGUGGCUUAAUUCGAAGCAACGCGAAGAACCUUAUCCAGGGUUUGACAUGCACGGAUACCCUUUUCGAAAGAAGAGUAAGUUGCCCUUUGGGUGAAACGUGCACAGGUGCUGCAUGGCUGUCGUCAGCUCGUGCUGUGAAGUGUCGGGUUAAGUCCCUUAACGAGCGAAACCCCUAUCUUUAGUUGCCAGCGAGUAAUGUCGGGGACUCUAGAGAGACUGCCGGUGUCAAACCGGAGGAAGGUGGGGAUGACGUCAAGUCCUCAUGGCCUUUAUGCCCUGGGCUGCACACGUGCUACAAUGCGGCGUACAGAGCGAAGCAAUACCGCAAGGUGGAGCAAA
RNAcentral lists this ribosomal RNA (363 nucleotides) under uncultured bacterium. RNAcentral's name for it is "bacterial SSU rRNA". It matches the Rfam family "Bacterial small subunit ribosomal RNA", at positions 917 to 1271 of the family's 1533-position model. The record is from RNAcentral.